RNAcentral lists this ribosomal RNA (5259 nucleotides) under Triticum aestivum (bread wheat). RNAcentral describes it as "partial small subunit ribosomal RNA". Lineage: Eukaryota; Viridiplantae; Streptophyta; Magnoliopsida; Poales; Poaceae. The record is from RNAcentral.
AUGGCCGGAGAUCUAUCAAGUCGGCACUGCAGCCUGCAGGUGUACAAAUGUGCAGCUGAUCUGAUCGACGUGAUUUUGUGUAGUUUUCAGGAACUUGUAGUCAAGUUCUAUUUGAUCGACCAUGAUGGCUCCUCCUCCUCCCUCCUCUCUCCCCUUUCCCGCCUCCCCUUCCCCGUCCCCGCUCCGGUGUCCUGGUCCGGUCCUCCCCGCUUCCCUCCCUCUACCGUCGCAGGGUCUCACUCUCGUCGUCCCCCCCCCCUCGCCUCUCGGGUCUGCUCGGCGGAUGAGGAUUCCGAUCUGGAGGUUGGUGCUCCCUCCCUUCCCUUGGCUCCUCCUCCGGCCGUUUCGCUGGCACUGGUCUCGCUGCCGUCUGGUCGGGUCAUGGUCCCGGGUGGUCGUGGUCGUCCGGUGGCCUCUGUUGAAGGGGAUGGAUCGGGUUGGCUCCAGGUGAGGUAUGGCCGGCGACGGAAGCGCUCGGGGGCGCUCUCCUCACCGGGCCGUGCGGUUUUUGGUGGCGUAUCUUCUCGGGCGGGUAGCCCUGCGCGUUCCUCCUGCUGCCCGCCGUCCUCGCCGCCGGUAGCCUUGGUGGUGCCGGCGCCGCUGGCGGCGACGACGAUCGUUUUUUUUCCUUCCCCAACCCUAGCCCCUUCCCUUAUCUCCUCCCCCCCACCUCUCCCCCUCCCUUUCGCAACGGUGGUGGUCAUGGAUCGCCCCCGUGGUUCUUCGAGCGAGGCCGCGUCGGGCAUGAAGCGGUGGCGGGAGGAUGUGGGCGACAGGGCGGCUGAUCUGGAGCUUGAGGCUUCCUUGCGCUCUAUGCUUGAGGCCGAGCAGGCGGCUCGACAGCAAGUGGCUCGGGAGCGUGAGGCCUGGGCGGCGGGGCCUGUGUGGCUCCUGAGGGAUGAGCGCGCCAGGGCGGCGGCGGCGGCCGUGGCGGCCGUGGGAGGCUGCGGCGACUACUCACGGCUCUGGUCCCGUGGCCCGUUCGCCUCCUCCCUCGCCGGGCCCGGCCUCCCUGGCUCGUGGUGGCGGCCGUGCCUCCGGUCCACCGUCUGGGUUUGGUGGGCGUUCGAUGGGUCGGGGGGCGGCGAAUCUGGCCCCCUUGGUCGUCGGUCCCCGGCUUCUGGUCCUGGUUCGUCCUCUGACUGGCCACUUCCAAUCCGCUGUCUCAACCCCCCGUUCUGCCUGAUAUGUAGAGAGGAAGGCUACCUUACGGUGAACUGCCAAAAUCGUCGCAAGUCUACAUCUUUUAAGCUCUUUGGUCAAGGUCUCCUCGGAUGCUCCUUCUUCGCACUUGACAGUGAGAUCCCUCAGGUGGCAGUGGCCUCUGCGCUCUCCAACGCUGCUAUCAUCUCGAUCAAAGACCACAAAAUCUCCACCCAAACUCUCCUGGACGAGCUUAAACUUUGGGAUGAUGGGGGUUCGGACUGGCAGGUCCAACAGUUGUCUGACUUCGAUUUCGCUGUGGUUUUCCCUUCCAAGAGCAGUCUUAAGAUGAUAUCUUCAUGCACUAGCUUCACUCUUCCUCUUAACCAGCUGGUUGUCUCGGUGAAGGCGGAUGCCAAUGGUGCAAAACCUAUAUCACCCCUCUCGGAGAUUUGGGUCCUAGUAGAUGAUGUCCCCCCUAACUUACGCUCUACCGAGUUUCUCAUGGCCUUCGGUGUUCUUAUUCGCAAGCCUAUAUUGGUUGAUCAGGAUUCCCUCUCUGUCCUUGUCCCCGUUCACCUCAAGAUCUGGGCUGUGGACCCCUUGUGCAUACAUGGUCACGUCGAUGUCUUUCCUUCUGCGGAUGGCUUCAGGCUUCGGGUGCGAGUGGAGGGCGGCGCCAAUUCCCACUCCCCACCCCCUCCUCCUCCUCCUUCGGCCGAUAACCUGGGCGGUGAAGUUCGGAUUGCCGCGAGCUUUGCAAGGAGAAUGCCCCGAAGAGUAAGGAUGGAGGAAAGGAUCAAAUUGAUGCGCAUGUCUCUGCUCAAGAUCCCCCGACCGCUCCUCCUGCUGGCACUCCGAUGUCUGGGGUGUGCUCCAACAUGCCGGUUCGGCCGUGGUCUUCGUCUCUCUCUGGCAUUGAGGACCUCCCUGCUUCACCGUUUCGCGCUGCAACGGGGUCUCUUCCCAAGCGCAAGUCUUCGUUCGCAAGUUCUCCGCUCGCAGUCGGGCUUCUUCAGGGACCAAGUUGUCUGCUGCGGGUCUGUGCCGCCGCCUCGAAGUGGACGGAUCCGGGAUAGUGGUAUGCGGGUGGCUGACAAGGCGGCUAGGCGUGUGGCUGCUCAUGACGUCCCUGCUUCAGGUAUCCCUCCAGCCCCUUCCCCGUUGGUUCAUAACAUCUCUUCACCUACUAGGCUUGUAUUGCCUUCUUACUCGGAUGAGCAUCUGACUAAGGUUCUCGCGGAUUCUGGUAUCGCUCUUGAUCACAAUUUUGGAUCUCCCUCUUCUCUGAUUACUCUUCUUAGGGCCAAUGAGGUGGAUCAGGCGGCUUUAGCCAAGGCUAAAGAGGCCGCCGCAGCUCCUCCUGCCCCCCCCCCCCCAGUUGUGGCUGUUGGGGUUAUGGAGGAGGGGGCCCCUGCUAGCGAUGUUACCCCACAGAUUUCUGUGAAGAAGGGUGUCUCAAAACGUGCUAAAACCUGCUUGGCACCCUGCGGCUCCGUUGUGUAUCACCGUCAGCUAAACUUGCUUUGGGAAUUUAUGGUCGUUUAUGGUCCGGCGGAUCACUCCCUCUCCUCCAUCUUCUUGGGCGAAAUCACGAACAAAGUUGAAGCUUGCACCCUCCCUCUUGUGAUCGGAGGUGAUUUUAAUCUGCUACGCUCCCCUGCAGAUAAGAACACUAAUAACUUCUCUUGGGCACUGGCCGACGCUUUUAAUGAGUUCAUUAGUUCCUGCGCUCUCCGUGAUAUCCCUAGGGGAUUCGAUCUGCUCCCUCCCCCUCGAUUUCAGUUUGACGCCUUGUGGCUUCUUGUUGAUGGCUUCAGUGACCUCCUUGGCUCUAAAAUUAAUGGCUUUCUCUCGGUGCCUCAUCGUUCCUUUGGGCCGUUGGACGACCGGCAUAACUGUUCCGGCUUGUUGCGAAAAUUUCUUCGGGGUUGGUCCCGUAAUUUCUCAGCCCAAGAUCGUAGAGAUAAAGCCCUUCUCUUGGCCCAGAUCGAGGCUCUUGAGUCUCGGGCUGACCUCUCGGGUCUUUCUGAGUCUGAUAGGGACCUUCGCUUCUCCCUUGAACGCUCUCUGGUGCAGAUCCACCACCUUAACAAGGUUUAUUGGCGACAGAGGUGCUCGAUUAAUUGGAUGCUUAAAGGCGAUUCCCCCGCUGCCUAUUAUUUUGCCAUUGCCAACGGUCGUCGGCGUAGAUGCCUGAUAGAUAGCCUGAUCAUUGACGGGGCUAGAUCUCCUGACCAAUCCACCAUCUUAAACUAUAUUGUGACCUUCUUUUCUUCUCUCCUCUCGGCCAAACCUGACCAGGGUUUUAGGUUGGCUUCUAACUUUUGGGACCAGGGGGUCAUGAUCUCCCCGGAAGAAAGUACUGCCCUCAUGAUCCCUUACUUUGAAGAGGAGAUCCUCUCCUCGAUUAACAAAGCGAAUCCUAAUUCUGCCUCGGGCCUGGACGGCUUUUCCAUCCCCUUCUUUAAAAAAAUUUGGCCUCAUCUUAAGGAGCUCAUCUGUAACGUCAUUCAAGGAUACUGUUUGGGGACAGUAGACAUAUCCAGACUCAACUAUGCGGUUAUUUCCCUUAUCCCUAAGGUUAAGGGUGAUGAGCUCAUCUCUCAGUUUAGACCUAUUGCCCUUAUUAAUAACUUCGCAAAAUUCCCUGCCAAGUGUCUGGCUACUCGCCUCACCCCGGUGGCUCACCAGACCCUCUCCCCUACUCAGGCCGUGCAGGCCGGCCAUUUCGCUCCUGUCAGCUCUCACCUCAUCCCGGAUGGGAUUACUCACCUUCAGUAUGCGGACGACACUAUUAUUAUGGUGGAACUGAAUGACCACUUCAUUGCCCAUCUUAAAUUCCUGCUUCUUUGCUUCGAAGCUCUCUCGGGGCUUAAGAUUAGUUUCUCCAAAAGUGAAGUUAUUGUUACUGGCGUUCCGGCUACCGAGGCCUUACGGGUUGCCCGACGUUUGAAUUGUUCUCUUGGCUCGUUCCCUAUUAAAUAUUUGGGUCUGCCUGUCACUCCCGAUAAACUUCUUGCUAAAGAUUUUGCUCCUACGGUGGCCAAGGUGGGUAAUCGCGUUAUGCCCUGGAGGGGCAGAUACAACACUCAGGCGGGUAAAGUGGCCUUGAUAAAUGCUUGCCUCUCAUCUCUCCCGAUGUUCUUGAUGGGAUUUUACCUUCUGUCUAUGGGAACCCAUGAUGGUUUUGAUAAACAUAGAUGUGCUUUUUACUGGAACGCGGCUGAUAACAAAUGGAAAUAUCGCUUGGUCAAGUGGGACCUAUUUAUCAUGACCAUCGGACAGGACAAGCCCCUCUGGUUCAACAUCCUCAAAGCGAAGCCCCUUUUCCAAGGCCUCGUCAAAUUCGUCGUCCGUAAUGGCAGAUCCACCAGAUUCUGGCUCGAUCGCUGGCUAUUGUUUUCCCUGUUCUUUUCUCUUACUGCUGAGAUCUCUAUUUUUGAGCUCGCGUCCAAUAAUUGGGAUCUGCGUCUGCGUCGCUCUCUCGCUCCUGUAAAGUUGGAAGACUGGCAGCGUCUUGUUGCUCUCUUCCCUUCGCUCUCGGAGGAGGAAGACUCGGUCGUUUGGCCCCAUUUCCCUUCUGGUCGUUUCUCGGUUAAAUCCCUAUAUGGCAAACUCAUUGCUGGGUCCAUCACUUCCAAAUUCCAAUGGAUCUGGAGGGCGCGUAUUCCUCCUAAGGUCAAGGUUUUCCUUUGGCAAGCCUCUCGGGGGCGUCUGCCGACGGGUGGCCAAAUUCGCAAGCGCAAUGGCCCCGGAUCUGAUAGAUGUGCAUUAUGUGGGUUGAGAGAAGACUCCUCACAUAUUUUCUUCAACUGUGUGAUGGCUAAGUUGUUCUGGUGUUGUAUCAGAUCUUGGAUGCAUGUCUCCUGGGCUCCGACCUCCUUUUCUGACCUGCGCAUCUUGGCCAAUUCUUUGGUUGGGGCCCAGAGGAGAUUGUUUUGGGUGGGCUUCGCUGCCAUGUGCUGGUCUCUUUGGACGACAAGGAAUAAAUUUACUAUUGAACAUCAGUGGAGAUCAUUGACUAAGGAGGAGGAUAGGGACGCCCCCGAUGCCAUGUUGGCCAAGAUCCGAAACUCUGCCAUCUCCAUCUCCCGAGUUCAAGCAAGCACUUAG